RNA transcript from Cyprinodon tularosa, 2149 nucleotides. It is a transcript of the gene named zinc finger protein 345-like, with no coding region annotated. The record is from RefSeq and is a predicted model, not a curated record. The transcript is spliced from 6 exons. Lineage: Eukaryota; Metazoa; Chordata; Actinopteri; Cyprinodontiformes; Cyprinodontidae.
UUUCAAUUUUGGGUGCAGGGAUCUACGGCUCACUAGGAUUAAUGACGCUAAAUAAAUAUGUCCUUGAUGUAAGAUAAAAUUCUAAACAAAGAUAUUCAGGUCCCAGUUUACAGCAGGGAACUACGGCAAAAUUCGGGUUGCGUUGUAAACUUAAUCUCGCGAGAUUUUCUUGAAUGUCACGUGACAAGGGCUAAAAUGUACGUUGUGGCUUCAUUUCCGUGGACGCCAUAAAGCAACUUUGGAUUUGUUUUAUUAUUACAGAUUUACACUUUAGGGUCAACCCUCGCAGAAAUAAAAUGCGGGAUGAUAAAUGUUAGAUGUUUUAAAUCAAUUUAAUUAAUAUAAACAAAAUAGCGUCGCUUCUGUUGUUUAUAUCGCCCUAAUUCAUUCAUCGUUUGGAUAGCUGUCAUAUUUUUCUAACAGCAGCCUAAUGAUUGAUGCUUGGAGUUUAAGACAUACAGCAUAGAUCUGCUUGCUGGAAGCCUUGGCAUGGAAUUGCUGAAGAUAGAGAAAGUCGUUGGAAAUGAAAUCAAGUCUCCAUCUGCAGAGAUCAAGCCCAACCCCGUGGUCGCCCCGAAAUACUAGUAUUACUGCUGCCACCAUCUGUAUUAUAGGGAAAAAUGGUAGGGGUGGCCACAGGGGUGGCCAAUGAUUGGCUAAGGGUGGCCACCCCUGGGCCCCCCUCUAGCUCUGCCCCUGCUUCUAAGAAAGCUCAUUUAACUCCUGAUUUCUGUGCACUGGCCUGGCUUUCUACAGAGGUUGACAUCCAAUUUGAAUGAUCACCACGAGGGCCUGCAGUGUUUCCAUUGUCUGAUUAUCUUCAAAGACCUCAAAUCCAAGGAGAGACACAUCAGGAGGAACCAUAGGGAUGAGUAUGCACAUCAUCUGCAACAGAAUAACACGCUGUUUAUGUGCUACAAGUGCAAUAGGCUGUUCUCCACCGCAGAGGAGCUCAGCCAGCACCAACGUACACACAUUACUGAUGAAAAGCCAUUUGCCUGCAGCCUGUGUCAGAAACGAUUCUGCACCUUUUCCGAGCGGAACAAACACAGGCGAAAGGACUGCGGAAAGCGGCGGUAUCUUUGCAAGGAUUGUGGCACCCGGUUCCCCAUUCCCUUUCGCCUCCGCAAACAUCGCAUUGCAAUGCAUCCUGAGAAAGAGGUUGCAGCCGAAAAUGCCGACAUGUUUCAGUGCUCUAAAUGUGGCGUUUGCUUUCAAUCAGAAGAAGAGCUCCUUCAGCACCUGGAGGAAUUUUCGGAUUGUGUUCUCGGAGAGGCACAAGGGAAAAUACGAGGCUAUGAACCCGUUUCCACAUAUCCAGAGGUGGAAGUUAAAAAAAUCAAGCAAGAAAAAGAUGCAAAGCCAUACGAAGGAUGCAGUGACUCAACAGGAACUGCUUCUGUAAAGCCCAAAAUUCCCUGUCCUGAAGAAGACUGUGACUGCACCUUUCCUUCAGUGGAAGCUUUGCGAGGUCACAAAAAAGAGCAGCAUGGACCCUGCGCCUUGAAAGCUCCCAGUUCUGAAUACACCCGCCCUACCUUUGGGGAAAACUGUGCAAGAGAAAGCACUUUAAAGGCUCAUCAAACCUCCCAUAUUAAAAGAGAGGUUGAUGUUGAAAGAGAUGAUAUAGAGGGAGAAAACAUCCCUUUGAUGUCACACGAUUAUGUCAUGCAUGUCGCUAGAUAAAGAAUUUUAAUGUGCUUUAGAAGCAUUAUUUAUUUUCCUUUUUGAGGAAAUACUCAACACUAAACUGGUUCUUAUGUGUGUAAAUAUUCAGUAUUGUUUUUCGAUGGGAUCGUGUCAAAAAGGCAAUUUUAUUGUUUAGAUUGUAUUUGUUUCAUCCUAAAAUGUUGAUCUCGAUAAUGAAGUAGCUGUGUAAUUCUUUUCAGGGUUGUGUGCAAAACUUGGAAAAUAUGUCAUAUAAGCAUGAAAAAUAAAUGAUAGUUCUGUUUACUGGUCUGAAGUGUUGUCUUUAUGUUGCUGAAAUAAAGUGAAUAAGAAUUCUGCUGUCCUUGUAGUAUUAAUUGGUGGUGAGGGGUCUCUUUGUUUCCUUAUAUUUGUUCUUUGGGAUAUUUUGUGAAGUAAAACAAACCCUGAAAUGUUAAGGUCUUUUUUUUUCUGUGUGUCUUUAUAAACUCAUGUGGUAUUA